GGCCUGAUGGAGCACGCCGCGUGUGUGAUGAAGGCUUUCGGGUCGUAAAGCACUGUUGUAUGGGAAGAACGGGUUUAAGAGGAAAUGCUUAGACAGUGACGGUACCAUACCAGAAAGGGACGGCUAAAUACGUGCCAGCAGCCGCGGUAAUACGUAUGUCCCGAGCGUUAUCCGGAUUUAUUGGGCGUAAAGCGAGCGCAGACGGUUGCUUAAGUCUGAAGUGAAAGCCCACAGCUCAACUGUGGAAUGGCUUUGGAAACUGGGCAACUUGAGUGCAGUAGAGGUAAGUGGAACUCCAUGUGUAGCGGUGGAAUGCGUAGAUAUAUGGAAGAACACCAGUGGCGAAGGCGGCUUACUGGACUGCAACUGACGUUGAGGCUCGAAAGUGUGGGUAGCAAACAGGAUUAGAUACCCUGGUAGUCCACACCGUAAACGAUGGAUACUAGUUGUUAGAGGGUUUCCGCCCUUUAGUGACGAAGCAAACGCAUUAAGUAUCCCGCCUGGGGAGUACGACCGCAAGGUUGAAACUCAAAGGAAUUGACGGGGACCCGCACAAGCGGUGGAGCAUGUGGUUUAAUUCGAAGCAACGCGAAGAACCUUACCAGGUCUUGACAUCCUUUGAAGGUACUAGAGAUAGUACUGUCUUCUUCGGAAGCAAAGUGACAGGUGGUGCAUGGCCGUCGUCAGCUCGUGUCGUGAGAUGUUGGGUUAAGUCCCGCAACGAGCGCAACCCUUAUGUUUAGUUGCCAGCAUUCAGUUGGGCACUCUAGACAGACUGCCGGUGACAAACCGGAGGAAGGCGGGGACGACGUCAGGUCAUCAUGCCCCUUAUGACCUGGGCUACACACGUGCUACAAUGGCGUAUACAACGAGCAGCAAACCUGUGAAGGUAAGCGAAUCUCUUAAAGUACGUCUCAGUUCGGAUUGUAGUC
RNAcentral lists this ribosomal RNA (932 nucleotides) under Fructobacillus fructosus. RNAcentral's name for it is "bacterial SSU rRNA". It matches the Rfam family "Bacterial small subunit ribosomal RNA", at positions 380 to 1305 of the family's 1533-position model. Lineage: Bacteria; Bacillati; Bacillota; Bacilli; Lactobacillales; Lactobacillaceae. The record is from RNAcentral.